Molecule: ribosomal RNA, 400 nt
Filed under: uncultured Bacilli bacterium
Lineage: Bacteria; Bacillati; Bacillota; Bacilli
Description: bacterial SSU rRNA
Rfam family: Bacterial small subunit ribosomal RNA
Source: RNAcentral
CGGCCGCGUCGACCCGCGUCUGAUUAGCUUGUUGGGCGGGGUAACGGCCCACCAAGGCGACGAUCAGUAGCCGACCUGAGAGGGUGAUCGGCCACAUUGGAACUGAGACACGGCCCAGACUCCUACGGGAGGCAGCAGUAGGGAAUCUUCGGCAAUGGGGGCAACCCUGACCGAGCAACGCCGCGUGAGUGAAGAAGGUUUUCGGAUCGUAAAGCUCUGUUGUAAGUCAAGAACGGGUGUGAGAGUGGAAAGUUCACACUGUGACGGUAGCUUACCAGAAAGGGACGGCUAACUACGUGCCAGCAGCCGCGGUAAUACGUAGGUCCCGAGCGUUGUCCGGAUUUAUUGGGCGUAAAGCGAACGCAGGCGGUUUGAUAAGUCUGAAGUUAAAGGCUGUGGC